RNAcentral lists this ribosomal RNA (490 nucleotides) under uncultured bacterium. RNAcentral describes it as "partial 16S ribosomal RNA". It matches the Rfam family "Bacterial small subunit ribosomal RNA", at positions 30 to 507 of the family's 1533-position model. The record is from RNAcentral.
AUUGAACGCUGGCGGCAGGCCUAACACAUGCAAGUCGAACGGUGACAGGAAGCAGCUUGCUGCUUUGCUGACGAGUGGCGGACGGGUGAGUAAUGUCUGGGAAACUGCCUGAUGGAGGGGGAUAACUACUGGAAACGGUAGCUAAUACCGCAUAACGUCGCAAGACCAAAGAGGGGGACCUUAGGGCCUCUUGCCAUCGGAUGUGCCCAGAUGGGAUUAGCUAGUAGGUGGGGUAACGGCUCACCUAGGCGACGAUCCCUAGCUGGUCUGAGAGGAUGACCAGCCACACUGGAACUGAGACACGGUCCAGACUCCUACGGGAGGCAGCAGUGGGGAAUAUUGCACAAUGGGCGCAAGCCUGAUGCAGCCAUGCCGCGUGUAUGAAGAAGGCCUUCGGGUUGUAAAGUACUUUCAGCGGGGAGGAAGGGAGUAAAGUUAAUACCUUUGCUCAUUGACGUUACCCGCAGAAGAAGCACCGGCUAACUCCGUG